AACGAACGCUGGCGGCAGGCCUAACACAUGCAAGUCGAACGCUCGUAGCAAUACGAGAGUGGCAGACGGGUGAGUAACACGUGGGAACCUUCCCUUCGGUCGGGAAUAGCUCAGGGAAACUUGAGGUAAUACCGGAUACGCCCUUACGGGGAAAGAUUUAUCGCCGUUGGAUGGGCCCGCGUCGGAUUAGCUAGUUGGUGAGGUAACGGCUCACCAAGGCGACGAUCCGUAGCUGGUCUGAGAGGAUGAUCAGCCACACUGGGACUGAGACACGGCCCAGACUCCUACGGGAGGCAGCAGUGGGGAAUAUUGGACAAUGGGCGCAAGCCUGAUCCAGCCAUGCCGCGUGAGUGACGAAGGCCUUAGGGUUGUAAAGCUCUUUUGGCGGGGACGAUAAUGACGGUACCCGCAGAAUAAGCUCCGGCUAACUUCGUGCCAGCCGCCGCCGUAAAA
This 453-nucleotide ribosomal RNA is filed under the name uncultured bacterium. Its description in RNAcentral is "bacterial SSU rRNA". It matches the Rfam family "Bacterial small subunit ribosomal RNA", at positions 29 to 525 of the family's 1533-position model. The record is from RNAcentral.